CGGGCUGUAGCGCAGUUUGGUAGCGCGUUUGACUGGGGGUCAAAAGGUCGCAGGUUCAAAUCCUGUCAGCCCGA
RNAcentral lists this transfer RNA (74 nucleotides) under Planctomycetota bacterium. RNAcentral describes it as "Planctomycetes bacterium (mine drainage metagenome) tRNA-Pro". It matches the Rfam family "tRNA". Rfam says of the family: Transfer RNA (tRNA) molecules are approximately 80 nucleotides in length. Their secondary structure includes four short double-helical elements and three loops (D, anti-codon, and T loops). The record is from RNAcentral. RNAcentral also lists the same sequence under 1 other name. Lineage: Bacteria; Pseudomonadati; Planctomycetota.